UCUGUCUCUCCUCAGAACGCUGCUGGUGAACGCCGGCGCUGUGCUGAACUUCAGACUGAGGAGGAGAGACACGGAGGGCUUCGGCGAGGGGGCGAGGGAGCCCACCACCGGUGACAAUAUCAGAGAGUUCUUGCUGAGCCUUAGGUAUUUCCGAAUCUUCAUUGCCUUGUGGAAUGUCUUCAUGAUGUUCUGCAUGAUUGUGUUAUUUGGAUCUUGAAAGUCAUCCACAAACAUGGCUGGUAACUUGGAAGAGACUUUUGGCUGCAAACAUAACUUUUCUAUCAAGUAAAAGAUUAUAAUGCUUUCCAAACACAGCCCUGGGAUUGUGACAGUUCUUCAGCACGAGCUCCGAGGGGCAGCACAGCACACAGCCCCCCCAGCCAGCUGUGUAAGGCUGUGGGUGUGUGGGGCUGCGUGCUGCAGGGCAGGGAGCCUUCCAGCCCCUGAGCCAAAGGCCUCAAAGUAAAAUUAAUUCAACUUCACCGGGAGGAAAAAAACAACCCACCCACCUUUACAGUGGGUUGCUCAGCAUUCUGUGCCCGAUGUGCAGCGGAUUGCAGCUGACUGACAGCCACAGCCGUGCAGCUCUGCCUCAUCGCUCACCCCACGUUCUGCUGCGUCUGCCGUCACCGCGCUGUGGGCCACAUGGAAGUCACACCUCAUUACUGUGACGCGGAGUGAAGAAUUGAUGUAACUUGGAAAAAAAAAAAAGGCAUUUUUCCCUCACAAUUCCAUUUUUCUUUGGAAAUGUAGAAAUAGGCAUCUCAAAAAAGGGUCCUCACUUCCUCACUUUUUCCCCCAACAAAUUCAUUUUUAGAUACAAAUUUGAAGAUAAGGGGUUUUUUCCUCAGCAAUCCGUAAGGGACUUUGAACAGGAAAACAUCUGUGAUGCCGAGGAGGUUUUGGGAUCAUUUUGGAUUCGGUUGAAUAAAAAAGUUCUAUUUAAG
Molecule: long non-coding RNA, 947 nt
Filed under: Gallus gallus (chicken)
Lineage: Eukaryota; Metazoa; Chordata; Aves; Galliformes; Phasianidae
Description: long non-coding RNA NONGGAT005663
Source: RNAcentral